RNAcentral lists this ribosomal RNA (254 nucleotides) under uncultured bacterium. Its description in RNAcentral is "partial 16S ribosomal RNA". It matches the Rfam family "Bacterial small subunit ribosomal RNA", at positions 524 to 776 of the family's 1533-position model. The record is from RNAcentral.
UACGGGGGGAGCAAGCGUUGUUCGGAUUUACUGGGCGUAAAGGGCGCGUAGGCGGCCACCGCAAGUCGACUGUGAAAUCUCCGGGCUUAACUCGGAAAGGUCAGCCGAUACUGCGGGGCUAGAGUGCAGAAGGGGCAACUGGAAUUCUCGGUGUAGCGGUGAAAUGCGUAGAUAUCGAGAGGAACACCUGCGGCGAAGGCGGGUUGCUGGGCUGACACUGACGCUGAGGCGCGAAGGCUAGGGGAGCAAACAGG